GGGACUCAUCCGAGGCCCCGUAAUCGGAAUGAGUACACUUUAAAUCCUUUAACGAGGACCAAUUGGAGGGCAAGUCUGGUGCCAGCAGCCGCGGUAAUUCCAGCUCCAAUAGCGUAUAUUAAAGUUGUUGCGGUUAAAAAGCUCGUAGUUGAAUCUGUGUGUCACAGUGUCGGUUCACCGCUCGCGGUGUUUAACUGGCAUUAUGUGGUACGUCCUAUCGGUGGGCUUAGCUCCUCGCGGGCGGUCCAACUAAUAUCCCAUCGCGGUGCUCUUCACUGAGUGUCGAGGUGGGCCGAUACGUUUACUUUGAACAAAUUAGAGUGCUUAAAGCAGGCUACCUUCGCCUGAAUACUGUGUGCAUGGAAUAAUGGAAUAGGACCUCGGUUCUAUUUUGUUGGUUUUCGGAGCCCCGAGGUAAUGAUUAAUAGGGACAGAUGGGGGCAUUCGUAUUGCGACGUUAGAGGUGAAAUUCUUGGAUCGUCGCAAGACGGACAGAAGCGAAAGCAUUUGCCAAAAAUGUUUUCAUUAAUCAAGAACGAAAGUUAGAGGUUCGAAGGCGAUCAGAUACCGCCCUAGUUCUAACCAUAAACGAUGCCAGCCAGCGAUCCGCCGAAGUUCCUCCGAUGACUCGGCGGGCAGCUUCCGGGAAACCAAAGCUUUUGGGUUCCGGGGGAAGUAUGGUUGCAAAGCUGAAACUUAAAGGAAUUGACGGAAGGGCACCACCAGG
RNAcentral lists this ribosomal RNA (727 nucleotides) under Bombus impatiens (common eastern bumble bee). RNAcentral describes it as "SSU rRNA". It matches the Rfam family "Eukaryotic small subunit ribosomal RNA", at positions 487 to 1174 of the family's 1831-position model. The record is from RNAcentral. Lineage: Eukaryota; Metazoa; Arthropoda; Insecta; Hymenoptera; Apidae.